RNAcentral lists this ribosomal RNA (556 nucleotides) under Glomeromycotina sp. Its description in RNAcentral is "eukaryotic LSU rRNA". It matches the Rfam family "Eukaryotic large subunit ribosomal RNA", at positions 134 to 629 of the family's 3401-position model. Lineage: Eukaryota; Fungi; Glomeromycota. The record is from RNAcentral.
CAGGUCGAGUUGUAAUUUGAAGAUACGUUUUUGACGUUCCGGGUUGAACUAAAUCCUUUGGGAUAAGGUAUCAUGGAGGGUGAGAAUCCCGUAUAUACCAACCRUAGGGAUGUUAUUUAAUACGUUUCUAAGAGUCGAGUUGUUUGGGAAUGCAGCUCUAAAUGGGUGGUAAAUUUCACCUAAUGCUAAAUAUAAGCGAGAGACCGAUAGCGAACAAGUACAGUGAUGGAAAGAUGAAAAGAACUUUGAAAAGAGAGUUAAAUAGUACGUGAAAUUGUUGAAAGGGAAACGAUUGAAGUCAGUCAUGCCAGUGGGAAUCAACUUAGAGGAAACUCUGAGUGCACUUCUUCGCUUGGCAGGUCAACGUCGAUUUUGGAUGUCAUAAAAUGAUUGGGGGAAGGUAGCUCCUUCGGGAGUGUUAUAGCCCUUGGUAGAUGUGAUGUCUGGGAUCGAGGAUUGCAAUGGAUACCCUUUGGGGCUAGCCGCCUGAUCUCUAAUYGGUAUUGGGUUACGGAUAGCAUGCUGACCGUGAUCUAAUUAUUGGUUAAAAGGUUAG